Long non-coding RNA from Patella vulgata (common limpet), 1098 nucleotides. RefSeq lists it as uncharacterized. The record is from RefSeq and is a predicted model, not a curated record. The transcript has 3 exons. Lineage: Eukaryota; Metazoa; Mollusca; Gastropoda; Patellidae.
CGUAAAUUAAAAGUAUAUGGUACUCCAUUACUAGUAACACAUGUUACAUUCUUAUCUUAUCUACAGCAGAAUAAAAUAUAUUUUAAAAAAUCACCCCAGGUAUUCAGGUGGAUAAGACGGCAUCUUUGUAUUUUGUUGUUGAUAGGACGGUAUAUUUGUAUGUUGAUAGGGGGAUCUGAAUAUGGCUGUGGAAGUGAGACAUGUGUUAAUUGUGUUGAGCUUGGUUGGAUCUAACCUGGCUAGCUCGGUAAAUAGGACAACCGUCAACAAGCGUGCAAGUAAAAUAUUAUGGCAACUUGACAAUUUCCCUAAUUCUGAUCCUUUGAAAUAUUUCAAACCACACGAUGAUGGAUUCUACAACAAGGGAUCUUUGUCGACUUUUGCUGAUCCAGAAGACCCUCACAGAGAUGUAAUAAGGGUGUUUUAUCAGAAAGGAACCUAUUCUUCUAUACAGGGUUAUUAUGGGGCCCAGUUUUAUAGCAGACCAAUAUCAGAGCAAACGUCCUUGACCUUCUCCUACCAACUCUAUUUCAGUCCUGGAUUUGAUUUUGUUCGAGGUGGUAAACUCCCGGGUCUAGCAGGAGGCGAAGAAGCGACGUGUUCAGGUGGACGACACUCGGAAACUUGCUUCUCUGCCAGAUUGAUGUGGCGCAGAGAAGGAGAUGGGGAAAUCUACGCCUACUUACCUGAACAAGUCGACGAUUUCUGUGAGCGACCCGAUGCCAUCUGUUCUCCGACCAUCAAAGGAACAUCUUUGGGACGCAGCGAUUUCCGGUGGAGAACGGGUGUAUGGAUGAAAGUGAGCGAACACGUGACACUGAAUGACGUGGGUAAAGAUAACGGAAUUGCCAAGCUUUGGAUUGAUGACAAGUUGGUUUACUCGGGUCAUAAUAUCAGAUGGAGAGUUCGAGAUGACGUCAAAAUCAGCAGCGUCUUCUUCUCCACCUUCUUUGGUGGAAAUACUCCCGAAUGGGCGGCGACUGACAACUGCUAUACAUAUUUUAAAGAAUUUAUUUUAUCAACAGGAGACCAACCACCAGUUGCAGGGUGAAAUUGAAUGGUUUUAUCUGUGAAAUAAAAUGAUUUCCCACAAGACAA